RNAcentral lists this ribosomal RNA (247 nucleotides) under uncultured bacterium. RNAcentral's name for it is "partial 16S ribosomal RNA". It matches the Rfam family "Bacterial small subunit ribosomal RNA", at positions 524 to 774 of the family's 1533-position model. The record is from RNAcentral.
UACGUAGGGGGCAAGCGUUGUCCGGAUUAUUGGGCGUAAAGAGCGUGUAGGCGGCUUUACAGGUCCGUUGUGAAACUCGAGGCUCAACCUCGAGACGCCGGUGGAAACCGUAAGGCUAGAGUCCGGAAGAGGAGAGUGGAAUUCCUGGUGUAGCGGUGAAAUGCGCAGAUAUCAGGAGGAACACCGGUGGCGAAGGCGGUUCUCUGGGCAUGAUCUGACGCUGAGGAGCGAAGUGUGGGAGCGAACA